GGAGAGAUGGCUGAGUGGACGAAAGCGGCGGAUUGCUAAUCCGUUGUAUAUUUAUACCGAGGGUUCGAAUCCCUCUCUUUCCC
RNAcentral lists this transfer RNA (83 nucleotides) under Scaevola taccada (beach naupaka). RNAcentral's name for it is "tRNA-Ser". It matches the Rfam family "tRNA". Rfam says of the family: Transfer RNA (tRNA) molecules are approximately 80 nucleotides in length. Their secondary structure includes four short double-helical elements and three loops (D, anti-codon, and T loops). Lineage: Eukaryota; Viridiplantae; Streptophyta; Magnoliopsida; Asterales; Goodeniaceae. The record is from RNAcentral.